This 71-nucleotide transfer RNA is filed under the name Camelus ferus (Wild Bactrian camel). It matches the Rfam family "tRNA". Rfam says of the family: Transfer RNA (tRNA) molecules are approximately 80 nucleotides in length. Their secondary structure includes four short double-helical elements and three loops (D, anti-codon, and T loops). The record is from Rfam by way of RNAcentral. Lineage: Eukaryota; Metazoa; Chordata; Mammalia; Artiodactyla; Camelidae.
GGUGUAUGGCUCAGUGGUAGAGCAUGUUCUUAGCAUGCAUGAGGUCCUAGGUUCAAUCCCUGGUAACUCCA